RNAcentral lists this transfer RNA (88 nucleotides) under Alphaproteobacteria bacterium. Its description in RNAcentral is "tRNA-Ser". It matches the Rfam family "tRNA". From Rfam's summary of the family: Transfer RNA (tRNA) molecules are approximately 80 nucleotides in length. Their secondary structure includes four short double-helical elements and three loops (D, anti-codon, and T loops). Lineage: Bacteria; Pseudomonadati; Pseudomonadota; Alphaproteobacteria. The record is from RNAcentral.
GGAGAGGUGGCCGAGUGGUUUAAGGCGCACGCCUGGAAAGUGUGUAUACGGCAACGUAUCGAGAGUUCGAAUCUCUUCCUCUCCUCCA